RNAcentral lists this ribosomal RNA (419 nucleotides) under uncultured bacterium. RNAcentral describes it as "bacterial SSU rRNA". It matches the Rfam family "Bacterial small subunit ribosomal RNA", at positions 355 to 774 of the family's 1533-position model. The record is from RNAcentral.
UGGGGAAUAUUGCGCAAUGGCCGCAAGGCUGACGCAGCGACGCCGCGUGGAGGAUGACGCCCCUCGGGGUGUAAACUCCUGUUGCUCGGGACGAACCAUGGGUUUAGACCCAUCUGACGGUACCGAGUGAGGAAGCACCGGCUAACUCCGUGCCAGCAGCCGCGGUAAUACGGAGGGUGCGAGCGUUGUCCGGAAUCACUGGGCGUAAAGGGCGCGUAGGCGGUCUGGUAAGCGUGUGGUGAAAGCCCGGGGCUCAACCCCGGGUCUGCCGUGCGAACUGCCGGACUUGAGCACUGUAGAGGCAGGUGGAAUUCCGAGUGUAGCGGUGGAAUGCGUAGAUAUUCGGAGGAACACCGGUGGCGAAGGCGGCCUGCUGGGCAGUGUCUGACGCUGAGGCGCGACAGCGUGGGGAGCAAACA